GAAAACCGGUCUCAGUUCGGAUCGGAGUCUGCAACCCGACUCCGUGAAGCUGGAUUCGCUAGUAAUCGCGCAUCAGCCAUGGCGCGGUGAAUACGUUCCCGGGCCUUGUACACACCGCCCGUCAAGCCAUGGGAGCCGGGGGUGCUUGAAGUGCGUCGCCGUGAGGCGCGCCCUAGAGCAAAACCGGUGACUGGAGCUAAGUCGUAACAAGGUAAC
This 216-nucleotide ribosomal RNA is filed under the name uncultured bacterium. Its description in RNAcentral is "partial 16S ribosomal RNA". It matches the Rfam family "Bacterial small subunit ribosomal RNA", at positions 1277 to 1500 of the family's 1533-position model. The record is from RNAcentral.